UACGGAAGGCAGCAGUGGGGAAUAUUGCACAAUGGGCGCAAGCCUGAUGCAGCCAUGCCGCGUGUAUGAAAAAGGCCUUCGGGUUGUAAAGUACUUUCAGUCGUGAGGAAGGUGUUAAGGUUAAUAACCUUAGCAAUUGACGUUAGCGACAGAAGAAGCACCGGCUAACUCCGUGCCAGCAGUCGCGGUAAUACGGAGGGUGCGAGCGUUAAUCGGAAUUACUGGGCGUAAAGGGCACGCAGGCGGUUAAUUAAGUUGGAUGUGAAAUCCCCGGGCUUAACCUGGGAAUGGCAUUCAAGACUGGUUAGCUAGAGUCUUGUAGAGGGGGUAGAAUUCCAUGUGUAGCGGUGAAAUGCGUAGAGAUGUGGAGGAAUACCGGUGGCGAAGGCGGCCCCUGGACAAAGACUGACGCUCAUGUGCGAAAGCGUGGGGAGCAAACAGGGAUUAGAUACC
Molecule: ribosomal RNA, 453 nt
Filed under: uncultured bacterium
Lineage: Bacteria
Description: bacterial SSU rRNA
Rfam family: Bacterial small subunit ribosomal RNA
Source: RNAcentral